RNAcentral lists this long non-coding RNA (983 nucleotides) under Homo sapiens (human). Its description in RNAcentral is "HSALNT0304954". Lineage: Eukaryota; Metazoa; Chordata; Mammalia; Primates; Hominidae. The record is from RNAcentral.
AGACAUCUGGCCAUUGGUACUCAUUUCUGUUCUGGGUCGAAGGGACCUCACCUUCUUUUCCACCAGCCAUGAGACAGGAAGGCCUCAACUGGUAUCCCUGAAAGGGGGAGAGUUGGACUCUUGCCACAAGUCAGGUGAAGGCAUUCUCAUCUCCUCAGAGGCUUCAGAGCUUCUCCAUUUCAUAGACAACCAGGGCCCAGUGCACGUGAUCCAGAAAUAUCUUGAGCACCCUCUGCUGCUUGAGCCAGGUCAUCGCAAGUUUGACAUUCGAUAAAGAAAUGGGGGCUCAGAGCAGUCAAGAACAUGCCCCAAGUUAUUCGUCAGUGAGGCAGAAAUUGUGGUGUCCUUGUGUAAGUUCACAGUUUAUACUUUACCAUUAUACUGUGCUCCAAAUUAUCUGAUAUUUACUUUCAAAGCAUGUGUAGGAAGUUUACUAUGAUGAUGCAGAGACAUUGUACAGAAUCCAGUCCCUUGACUCUCAGGUCCCCAGAACACUCACUUCACGAUUUUGUUGACCUCUUAUGUCAACUUAAACCUGGCACUCUCUUGGCUUUCUCUGCUCUUUCUGGGCACUCCAAAGCUUCUGUACUUACAUGCUACAACUCCAGUCACAGGAAGAUGCUGAGUUCUUUAGUCCCAGAUCCAUAUUCCUGAGAAAACCUAAUUGCCUAGGCUCAGGUCAUAACUCUGUGUCUGUUUCAGUUGAUUAUGGCUGGGCCUACUGCCCCUCUGUAUGGUGGUGGGGCAGAAGUUCCCAGAGAGAGGCAGGGGUGACAGAGACUGUUGUCUCAAAUGCUAGGCAGACAUCUGGAGUGGUAACCACUACAUCUGUUCACAGUGAGCACAUCCUUGCAGGGAAACUGGGUUAAUCAUCUCUAUUAUUGAAACUCAGAGGUAUAGUGUUUCUUCAUAGGAAUUUUCUUUCCUUAUUUGAGAUGGGGGUCUCACUUUGUUGCCCAGGCUGGAGUGCAGUGGUGUGUGAU